Molecule: long non-coding RNA, 571 nt
Organism: Ficedula albicollis (Collared flycatcher)
Lineage: Eukaryota; Metazoa; Chordata; Aves; Passeriformes; Muscicapidae
Exons: 3
Source: RefSeq, a predicted model, not a curated record
UGUGCCCCUCUGCGGUUGCGUUUGAAAAUGAAGAUAGAGAUGCCACUUCAACUGGGAGCAUAACUCCAGACUGAGAAUCGUAUUUAUUUUUACAUGGUUGACUUAUCUCAAUGAUUUCAUAACACUUCCUCCUCAUCGGGUGAGAGGGCACCCUUAAACAAUCAAUUAAAGACAGCUUUAAUGCUUUAGUGAAGAAUAUGUCUGGAAAGUGGCCAUGAGGAAAAGAGAGGGAAAAAAAAAAAGGCAAGCACAUACGAACCAUUCCAGCUUCAUUUAGGAACUUUGCAACACACUUCUACAGUCAACAGAAAAAGCAGCUGAAUGCAGCAGUAAAUACAAACAGGAACUGUUGUCUGGAUGAUGGCAUGCAAGAGGGGAAUAGCAGCUGAAGGCUGGAAUCAAUCCACUCGAACACCACAUCAUCAAUCCCCCUGAAAGACUGGCUGAUCCUUGCAGAUAAUGAGCUACUUCAGUUGAGGAAAUACUCUAGCAUCCUGGACCUGUCUAUUGAGCAUUCCACAUACUCCCCGCUGCUCAACACCCACGCGUGGUUAUUUCCAGCGCUCAUUCC